This 1567-nucleotide long non-coding RNA is filed under the name Macaca fascicularis (crab-eating macaque). RNAcentral's name for it is "lncRNA (ENSMFAG00000061213.1)". Lineage: Eukaryota; Metazoa; Chordata; Mammalia; Primates; Cercopithecidae. The record is from RNAcentral.
UUUUUUUUUUUAGAGACAGGGUCUCACUAUGCUGUCCAGGCUCUCAAUUCAGUCUUCCUUCCCCCACCCCUGCCACCACACUAAACAUUAAACCUGGCUUUUCCCAAAGCCAUCUUCAUCAAAUUAGCCUGGCAGCCUGCCUGUCCUUGGUUCUUCCAGUCUCCAGGUGGAGGCGCUCUUACAGCAACACUUGUUGUUUCCAUCAGUCACUGGGGUCACUGUGUGUGAGGGAAGCCAUCAGGAUGAGCAAACGUCCGUGGGAGGCACUAGGGCCCAGAGGUUAAGAGUAUGUGCUCUGCGCAGGGCCAACAGCCCACGCCUGCUCACUGAGUGACUGUGGGGGUGAGGUCCAGAGUGGACACAACAGGCUGUGGCACCUGGGAGCACCACACAUCCCAGGAGUCACUGGGAUGCUUCUAGCAGAAUGGCCAAAUACCCUCUGUUGUUCUUUAACUUCUUGGGCCGGGCGCGGUGGCUCAAGCCUGUAAUCCCAGCACUUUGGGAGGCCGAGACGGGCAGAUCACGAGGUCAGGAGAUCGAGACCAUCCUGGCUAACAUGGUGAAACCCCGUCUCUACUAAAAAAUACAAAAAUACUAGCGGGGCGUGGUGGCGGGCGCCUGUAGUCCCAGCUACUUGGGAGGCUGAGGCAGGAGAAUGGCAUGAACCCGGGCGGCGGAGAUUGCAGUGAGCCGAGAUCGCGCCAUUGCACUCCAGCCUGGGCGACACGGAAAGGCUCUGUCUCAAAAAAAAAAAAAAAAAUUAUUGGGUCGGAGGGAGGGGAAAAGUAGGAGAAUCCUGUGCCAUUUGGGGUUACAGCUGAAUCCAUCUUCCUUCACGUUACUGUUGAAACAUUUCAUCAUAUCUGCAUGACAGUGGGCAAGUUACCUAACCUCAUUGUGCCUUCAUCUCCUCAUCUAGAAAAUGGAAAUAAGAGAACCUACUUCAUAUGGUUGUUUAGGGGCCUCAAUGAGUUAAAAUAUAUAAAUGGCUUUCAAUAAUGACUGGCAUAUUGUUAAAGAGAGAGAGAGCAUGCUCUGUUUUCAGACCUUCUGAGUUCAGGUACUAGCUUCCUCCCUUAUUAGUUCAAUAAACUUGGAGAAGUUAUUUCAUCCCUCUAUAUUUUUACUUUUUCAUCGAUAAAAUGAGGGUAGUAACAGCACCCAGCUCCUUGCUCAGCAAAGAAAUCAAUCAAUAAAAUAUAGGAGUAAUAUAUGGAAUGGCAGAAAAUAUAUGCAAACCAUAUACUAUAGACUGAAUAUUACGUUUCCCCAUAAUUCAUAGGUUGAAAUCCUAACCUCCAAUACGAUGGAAUUAGGAGAUGAGUCCUUUGGAGGUUAGGUCAUGAGGGUGGAGCCCUCAUGAAUGGAUUAGUGUCCUUAUGAAAGAGAACCCAGAGAGCUCCCUCACCACUUCUGCACAUGAGGACACAGCAAGAAGAUGGCCAUCUAUGAACCAGGAAGCAGGCCUUCACCACACAUCAAAUCUGCCCACAUCUUAAUGUUGGACUUCCAGCCUUCAGGACUAUGUGAAAUACAUUUCUUUUUUUUUUUUUCUUUUUCUUUUUUG